This 323-nucleotide unclassified non-coding RNA is filed under the name soil metagenome. Its description in RNAcentral is "partial contains 5.8S ribosomal RNA, internal transcribed spacer 2, and large subunit ribosomal RNA". The stretch from base 3 to 120 matches the Rfam family "5.8S ribosomal RNA", at positions 37 to 154 of the family's 154-position model. The record is from RNAcentral.
GCUGAAGAACGCAGCGAAAUGCGAUAAGUAAUGCGAAUUGCAGAAUUCAGUGAGUCAUCGAAUCUUUGAACGCACAUUGCGCCCUGUGGUAUUCCGCAGGGCAUGCCUGUUCGAGCGUCAUUUCAACCCUCAAGCUCUGCUUGGUGUUGGGCCCUGCCCGCUGCGGCCGGCCCUAAAGACAGUGGCGGUGCCGCCUGGCCCUGAGCGUAGUACAUCUCUCGCUCCAGUGCCCGGUGGUAGCCUGCCAGAACCCCAACUCUCGUGGUUGACCUCGGAUCAGGUAGGGAUACCCGCUGAACUUAAGCAUAUCAAUAAGCGGAGGA